Molecule: ribosomal RNA, 85 nt
Filed under: Enterobacter cloacae
Lineage: Bacteria; Pseudomonadati; Pseudomonadota; Gammaproteobacteria; Enterobacterales; Enterobacteriaceae
Also listed under: 10 other names
Description: partial 23S ribosomal RNA
Rfam family: Bacterial large subunit ribosomal RNA
Source: RNAcentral
AAGACGAUGACGUUGAUAGGUCGGGUGUGUAAGCGCAGCGAUGCGUUGAGCUAACCGAUACUAAUGAACCGUGAGGCUUAACCUU